GACAGAGGGUGCAAACGUUGUUCGGAAUUACUGGGCGUAAAGCGCGUGUAGGCGGCCCAGCAAGUCGGAUGUGAAAGCCCUGGCUUAACCUAGGAAGUGCAUUCGAAACUGCUGGGCUUGAGUUCUGGAGAGGAAGGCGGAAUUCGUCGGUGUAGAGGUGAAAUUCGAUAGAUAUCGAGAGGAACACCGGUGGCGAAGGCGGCCUUCUGGACAGU
Molecule: ribosomal RNA, 215 nt
Filed under: uncultured bacterium
Lineage: Bacteria
Description: partial 16S ribosomal RNA
Rfam family: Bacterial small subunit ribosomal RNA
Source: RNAcentral